CAACGGCGAGGAUGCCAACAGGAAGCGGACUCAAGGAUGAGGGUCAGGAGCGCCAGGAGGCGAAGACAAAGGACAGUCAGGAAGACGUACGCCUGGAGGCGUUUGAAAAAGGAAAAGGACCUGUCACGGACGGUAGCUGCUCACGGAAAAACAGGGUGAGUUGUCAGCAAACAGGGAUUGUCAGACCCAUAACGCGUUAUGAGUCAGGAAAAAAGGCGACAGAUUGCUCUGUCGCCUUUUUUCUUUGCUUGCUU
Leclercia adecarboxylata is the source of this 254-nucleotide non-coding RNA. Lineage: Bacteria; Pseudomonadati; Pseudomonadota; Gammaproteobacteria; Enterobacterales; Enterobacteriaceae. The record is from Rfam.